GUGUCAGCAGCCGCGGUAAUACGUAGGGAGCAAGCGUUGUCCGGAUUCACUGGGUGUAAAGGGUGCGCAGGCGGAUUUGUAAGUCAGAGGUGAAAUCUCACGGCUUAACCGUGAAACUGCCUUUGAUACUGCAGAUCUUGAGUUUGGGAGAGGUUGAUGGAAUUCCAGGUGUAGCGGUGAAAUGCGUAGAUAUCUGGAAGAACACCAGUGGCGAAGGCGGUCAACUGGCCCAUAACUGACGCUCAGGCACGAAAGCGUGGGGAGCAAACAGGAUUAGAUACCCGCGUAGUCC
Molecule: ribosomal RNA, 292 nt
Filed under: uncultured bacterium
Lineage: Bacteria
Description: partial 16S ribosomal RNA
Rfam family: Bacterial small subunit ribosomal RNA
Source: RNAcentral